AGACCCGAAACCCGGUGAUCUAGCCAUGGGCAGGUUGAAGGUUGGGUAACACUAACUGGAGGACCGAACCGACUAAUGUUGAAAAAUUAGCGGAUGACUUGUGGCUGGGGGUGAAAGGCCAAUCAAACCGGGAGAUAGCUGGUUCUCCCCGAAAGCUAUUUAGGUAGCGCCUCGUGAAUUCAUCUCCGGGGGUAGAGCACUGUUUCGGCAAGGGGGUCAUCCCGACUUACCAACCCGAUGCAAACUGCGAAUACCGGAGAAUGUUAUCACGGGAGACACACGGCGGGUGCUAACGUCCGUCGUGAAGAGGGAAACAACCCAGACCGCCAGCUAAGGUCCCAAAGUCAUGGUUAAGUGGGAAACGAUGUGGGAAGGCCCAGACAGCCAGGAUGUUGGCUUAGAAGCAGCCAUCAUUUAAAGAAAGCGUAAUAGCUCACUGGUCGAGUCGGCCUGCGCGGAAGAUGUAACGGGGCUAAACCAUGCACCGAAGCUGCGGCAGCGACACUGUGUGUUGUUGGGUAGGGGAGCGUUCUGUAAGCCUGUGAAGGUGUGCUGUGAGGCAUGCUGGAGGUAUCAGAAGUGCGAAUGCUGACAUAAGUAACGAUAAAGCGGGUGAAAAGCCCGCUCGCCGGAAGACCAAGGGUUCCUGUCCAACGUUAAUCGGGGCAGGGUGAGUCGACCCCUAAGGCGAGGCCGAAAGGCGUAGUCGAUGGGAAACAGGUUAAUAUUCCUGUACUUGGUGUUACUGCGAAGGGGGGACGGAGAAGGCUAUGUUGGCCGGGCGACGGUUGUCCCGGUUUAAGCGUGUAGGCUGGUUUUCCAGGCAAAUCCGGAAAAUCAAGGCUGAGGCGUGAUGACGAGGCACUACGGUGCUGAAGCAACAAAUGCCCUGCUUCCAGGAAAAGCCUCUAAGCAUCAGGUAACAUCAAAUCGUACCCCAAACCGACACAGGUGGUCAGGUAGAGAAUACCAAGGCGCUUGAGAGAACUCGGGUGAAGGAACUAGGCAAAAUGGUGCCGUAACUUCGGGAGAAGGCACGCUGAUAUGUAGGUGAAGUCCCUCGCGGAUGGAGCUGAAAUCAGUCGAAGAUACCAGCUGGCUGCAACUGUUUAUUAAAAACACAGCACUGUGCAAACACGAAAGUGGACGUAUACGGUGUGACGCCUGCCCGGUGCCGGAAGGUUAAUUGAUGGGGUCAGCGCAAGCGAAGCUCUUGAUCGAAGCCCCGGUAAACGGCGGCCGUAACUAUAACGGUCCUAAGGUAGCGAAAUUCCUUGUCGGGUAAGUUCCGACCUGCACGAAUGGCGUAAUGAUGGCCAGGCUGUCUCCACCCGAGACUCAGUGAAAUUGAACUCGCUGUGAAGAUGCAGUGUACCCGCGGCAAGACGGAAAGACCCCGUGAACCUUUACUAUAGCUUGACACUGAACAUUGAGCCUUGAUGUGUAGGAUAGGUGGGAGGCUUUGAAGUGUGGACGCCAGUCUGCAUGGAGCCGACCUUGAAAUACCACCCUUUAAUGUUUGAUGUUCUAACGUGGAC
RNAcentral lists this ribosomal RNA (1538 nucleotides) under Escherichia coli. Its description in RNAcentral is "partial 23S ribosomal RNA". It matches the Rfam family "Bacterial large subunit ribosomal RNA", at positions 711 to 2232 of the family's 2925-position model. The record is from RNAcentral. Lineage: Bacteria; Pseudomonadati; Pseudomonadota; Gammaproteobacteria; Enterobacterales; Enterobacteriaceae.